GAUGAACGCUAGCGGCAGGCCUAACACAUGAAAGUCGAGGGGUAGCAGGAUUAAGCUUGCUUAAUUGCUGACGACCGGCGCACGGGUGCGUAACGCGUAUGCAACCUACCUUAUACUGGGGUAUAGCCCGGAGAAAUUCGGAUUAAUCCCCCAUAGUACUAAUGAAUCGCCUGGUUUAUUAGUUAAAGCAUUGCGGUAUAAGAUGGGCAUGCGUCCGAUUAGCUAGAUGGUGGGGUAACGGCUUAACAUGGCUACGAUAGGUAGGGGGCCUGCGCGGGUGGUCCCCCACACUGGUACUGAGACACGGUCCAGACUCCUACGGGAGGCAGCAGUGAGGACUAUUGGUCAAUGGGCGCAAGCCUGAACCAGCCAUGCCGCGUGCAGGAAGAAGGCCCUAUGGGUUGUAAACUGCUUUUAUUUGGGAAUAAACCUCUUUACGUGUAGAGAGCUGAAGGUACCAAAUGAAUAAGCACCGGCUAACUCCGUGCCAGCAGCCGCGGUAA
This 503-nucleotide ribosomal RNA is filed under the name uncultured bacterium. Its description in RNAcentral is "partial 16S ribosomal RNA". It matches the Rfam family "Bacterial small subunit ribosomal RNA", at positions 28 to 523 of the family's 1533-position model. The record is from RNAcentral.